RNAcentral lists this ribosomal RNA (1777 nucleotides) under bacterium. RNAcentral's name for it is "bacterial SSU rRNA". It matches the Rfam family "Bacterial small subunit ribosomal RNA". The record is from RNAcentral.
UUUUUUGAGAGUUUGAUCCUGGCUCAGGAUGAACGCUGGCGGCGUGGAUAAGGCAUGCAAGUCGAGUGGUCGUUUCUCACUCUGUUCGAAACGACCCGCGGAAACACGCGGACGAAACGCGGAAACACGCGGACGAAACUAAAAAGUUUUUGUCUGCGAAAUUCUGCGUCAAGUCUGCGAUAGUCUGCGGGGCGGUCGAGCGAAGCGAGAAGCGACCACGGCAAACGGGUUAGUAAUACAUAGGAACGUACCCUCAAGUCGUGAAUAAUCCAGAGAAAUCUGGAAUAAUACACGAUAAUCUCUACGGAGUAAAGAUUUAUCGCUUGAGGAGCGGCCUGUGUCCUAUCAGCUAGUUGGUAAGGUAAUGGCUUACCAAGGCUAUGACGGGUAGGGGGCGUGAGAGCGUGAUCCCCAACAUUGGAACUGAGACACUGUCCAAACACCUACGGGUGGCUGCAGUCGAGAAUAUUCCACAAUGGGCGAAAGCCUGAUGGAGCGACGCCGCGUGCGGGAAGAAGACCCUUGGGUUGUAAACCGCUUUUGUAAGGGAAGAAUGGUCGUUUCUCACUCUGUUCGAAACGACCCGCGGAAACACGCGGACGAAACGCGGAAAGACGCGGACGAAACUGAAAAGUUUUUGUCUGCGAAAUUCUGCGUCAAGUCUGUGAUAGUCUGCGGGGCGCUUUUGAGCGAAGCGAGAAGCGACCAAUGACGGUACCUUGCGAAUAAGAGGUUGCUAACUCUGUGCCAGCAGCAGCGGUAAUACAGAGACCUCAAGCGUUAUCCGGAUUUAUUGGGCGUAAAGAGCAUGUAGGCGGAUAUAUUAGUCAGAUGUCAAAUCUUCGAGCUCAACUCGAAAACUGCAUUUGAAACGGUAUAUCUUGAGGAAGUGAGAGAUCAAUGGAACGUAUGGUGUAGCAGUGAAAUGCGUUGAUAUCAUACGGAACACCAAAGGCGAAGGCAUUUGAUUGGCACUUUUCUGACGCUGAGAUGCGAAAGCGUGGGUAGCGAAUGGGAUUAGAUACCCCAGUAGUCCACGCCGUAAACGAUGCAUACUUGGUAUUACGAGAAUCGACCCUCGUAGUGUCGUAGCUAACGCGUUAAGUAUGCCGCCUGGGAAGUACGAGCGCAAGCUUAAAACUCAAAGGAAUAGACGGGGAUCCGCACAAGUGGUGGAGCAUGUGGUUUAAUUCGACGACAAGCGAGGAACCUCACCAGGGCUUGAAACCUAGCUGCAUUGUACAGAAAUGUACAAGCCUUCGAGGGUGCUAGGCAGGCGUUGCACGGUCGUCGUCAGCUCGUGUCGUAAGAUGUUCUGUUAAGUCAGGAAACGAGCGCAACCCCUAUCGUGUGUUAUUAUGUCACACGAGACUGCCCAGAACUUUGUUCAUAAAGUUUUUAUGAGUAAAGUUCUGGGAGGAAGGCGGGGAUGACGUCAGAUCAGCGUGGCCCUUUGACGCCCUGGGCUACACACGUGCUACAAUGGCCAUUACAAAGGGUAGCCAAAUCGCAAGAUGGAGCUAAUCCCAUAAAGAUGGUCUCAGUUCGGAUUGAGGUCUGCAACUCGACCUCAUGAAGCCGGAAUCACUAGUAAUCGUGAAUCAGCCAUGUCACGGUGAAUACGUUCUCGGAUCUUGUACUCACCGCCCGUCACACCAAGAGAGUCGGUAACACCGGAAGACCCCGAAUUAAAUCGGGGGCCAGGGUGGGAUCGAUGAUAAGGGUGAAGUCGUAACAAGGCAUCGGUAGCGGAAGCUGUCGAUGGAUCACCUCCUUU